CUAGAAUACCUCCCUACCAUGGACCUGAUCACUACAGAUAAUCCCAGUCAAAACUUUUAAGUCCCCAUCCCAUGUGCUUCAUGUCAUUCUGCCUCCAAGAAGUACAAGGGCUGAGGACCAGGAUCGACCAAGAAGUGGGCAGGUUGUAUCUGUGACCAAGAGGUUGUGUCUACAGUUCCAGCCUUUGACAAGGGUCAGGAGAAUUGGGUUUUUUUAGAGUGAUAAUAUCAUCCCCUACAGUUUCUGAACAAAAUAAGAAGAGUAUCAAAUGAACAUCAAAAUAUUAUUUUUUUUUCUGGUAAAAUUACUUUGAAGAGCAUGCCUUUGACCUACAGCCUAAAU
RNAcentral lists this long non-coding RNA (342 nucleotides) under Mustela putorius furo (domestic ferret). RNAcentral's name for it is "lncRNA (ENSMPUG00000025068.1)". The record is from RNAcentral. Lineage: Eukaryota; Metazoa; Chordata; Mammalia; Carnivora; Mustelidae.